UACGAAGGGGGCUAGCGUUGCUCGGAAUCACUGGGCGUAAAGGGUGCGUAGGCGGGUCUUUAAGUCAGGGGUGAAAUCCUGGAGCUCAACUCCAGAACUGCCUUUGAUACUGAGAAGCUUGAGUUCGGGAGAGGUGAGUGGAACUGCGAGUGUAGAGGUGAAAUUCGUAGAUAUUCGCAAGAACACCAGUGGCGAAGGCGGCUCACUGGCCCGAUACUGACG
This 222-nucleotide ribosomal RNA is filed under the name uncultured bacterium. Its description in RNAcentral is "partial 16S ribosomal RNA". It matches the Rfam family "Bacterial small subunit ribosomal RNA", at positions 524 to 745 of the family's 1533-position model. The record is from RNAcentral.